GGGGAUGUAGCUCAGUGGUAGAUCGCAUGCUUAACAAGCAUGAAGUCCCUGGGGUCCAUCACCA
RNAcentral lists this transfer RNA (64 nucleotides) under Ictidomys tridecemlineatus (thirteen-lined ground squirrel). Its description in RNAcentral is "Spermophilus tridecemlineatus (thirteen-lined ground squirrel) tRNA". It matches the Rfam family "tRNA". From Rfam's summary of the family: Transfer RNA (tRNA) molecules are approximately 80 nucleotides in length. Their secondary structure includes four short double-helical elements and three loops (D, anti-codon, and T loops). Lineage: Eukaryota; Metazoa; Chordata; Mammalia; Rodentia; Sciuridae. The record is from Rfam by way of RNAcentral.